AGAGACUGCGAGCGUUAUUCGGAUUCACUGGGCGUAAAGGGUGCGCAGGCGGCCAAGUGUGUGAGGCGUGAAAGCCCGGGGCUUAACCUCGGAAUUGCACCUCAAACUACAUGGCUAGAGCAUUGGAGAGGGUAGCAGAAUUCACGGUGUAGCAGUGAAAUGCGUAGAUAUCGUGAGGAAUACCAGAGGCGAAGGCGGCUACCUGGACAAUUGCUGACGCUCAGGCACGAAAGCGUGGGGAGCAAAAGGGAUUAGAUACCCCUGUAGUCCACGCCCUAAACGGUGCACACUAGGUCUUGGCGGAUUCGACCCCCCCAGGGCCCAAGCUAACGCGUUAAGUGUGCCGCCUGAGGACUACGGCCGCAAGGCUAAA
RNAcentral lists this ribosomal RNA (373 nucleotides) under uncultured bacterium. Its description in RNAcentral is "bacterial SSU rRNA". It matches the Rfam family "Bacterial small subunit ribosomal RNA", at positions 527 to 898 of the family's 1533-position model. The record is from RNAcentral.